Molecule: transfer RNA, 69 nt
Filed under: Cnemaspis peninsularis
Lineage: Eukaryota; Metazoa; Chordata; Lepidosauria; Squamata; Gekkonidae
Description: tRNA-Ala
Rfam family: tRNA
About the family: Transfer RNA (tRNA) molecules are approximately 80 nucleotides in length.
Source: RNAcentral
GAGGUUUUAGCUUAAUUAAAGUGCCUGAGUUGCAGUCAGGUGAUGCAAGUUAGAGUUUUGUAGGCCUUC